CCCUCCCCUUUUCUGAUCCACCAAAUAUAGAAAUUCAAAGGGCUCCUCCCACAUCAGAAGCAAAGGGUAUCAGCAUAUGUAUCAGUAAACAGAGAGAAAAACAGCUGUCUGGCAGACACUGAGCUAAUGCGAAACCUCAAAGUUAACCUGAAACUGAAAUCCCUGAUAAUCAGGUGAAGUGCUUAGACCUGCUGUGGGACAGUGUUGCUGUGAAAGAGACUACCCAGCCUGCACUCGCUGUGAGGUUCCCCCACUGAGAGCUGGGUGGAACCUCAAGAAACCGAAUUGCAGAGGUCACAGUGACAAGUGACUGCACAGGGCCAUCAGUGAUGGAGCCGUGGAAUGAAUGGUGGCACCAUGAACAACAGCAUCCAGAAUGGCUGCUUGUGCAUUUGAUGGAGCUGCAAACUUCUCUGGAAGACACUGGAAUACAAACUUUGCUCAGAGAAAAGUGUAAUCCUAAUCUCUACUAUACACACUGCAGAGGAUCUAUUCCAAUUUACACUAGUACAAGCUGCAGAAUCUUCAAAAGAUACUAAAAAGCCAUACAUUUAAUGUCUUUGUUAUACUGUUUUUUCAGCAAGAGUCCAAAAGGACUGAAUGUCUUGGGAAAAAUAGAAGAUACACUGGGACUGAUGUUCAAAUUAGUCCAACCUGGGAAAACCCUGAACUUUCUCAUGACUGAUCCUUAGCUGUUGUUUUAAAAUUACUGCAACUAUUAUUACUGGCUUGGGAAAGUACUGUGAAAGUAGAAUGAAUUAUAUUGUAAAAAUAAGAAUGUAUUAAAGAAAUGUUGUAUGUACCUUUAAGCAGAAAUCAGAAAUGUUGAAAUACAGGUGCCAGGAAAAGAAACAAUAGGCAUAAACAAUGGUGCUAAUGGCAAAACAUUAACAGAAGAUCGGUAAUAGUUAGUAAGGAAAUAAGAUAUGCAUGCCCAGCCCAGGUAAACUUAUCAGAUUCUGCUUCCUUUGUUAUCUUGUUAAGUUCUCGCCCUUUUAUCUGUAUAAAUAAGAUAGUUUGUGUCUUGCAUGGUGCUCCCAUUAUCUGGGUGUUAUUAGCAGA
Molecule: long non-coding RNA, 1062 nt
Organism: Gopherus flavomarginatus (Mexican gopher tortoise)
Lineage: Eukaryota; Metazoa; Chordata; Testudines; Testudinidae
Exons: 3
Source: RefSeq, a predicted model, not a curated record